RNAcentral lists this ribosomal RNA (253 nucleotides) under uncultured bacterium. RNAcentral's name for it is "partial 16S ribosomal RNA". It matches the Rfam family "Bacterial small subunit ribosomal RNA", at positions 524 to 776 of the family's 1533-position model. The record is from RNAcentral.
UACGUAGGGUGCGAGCGUUAAUCGGAAUUACUGGGCGUAAAGUGUGCGCAGGCGGCCGAGCAAGUCGAGUGUGAAAGCCCCGAGCUUAACUUGGGAACUGCGCUCGAAACUACUUGGCUAGAGUGUGGCAGAGGGAGGUGGAAUUCCACGUGUAGCGGUGAAAUGCGUAGAGAUGUGGAGGAACACCAGUGGCGAAGGCGGGUAGCUGGGCCGACACUGACGCUGAGGCGCGAAAGCUAGGGGAGCGAACGGG